GUGGGGCUAUCUGCAGUCGAGCGAACUGAUUAGAAGCUUGCUUCUAUGACGUUAGCGGCGGACGGGUGAGUAACACGUGGGCAACCUGCCUGUAAGACUGGGAUAACUUCGGGAAACCGAAGCUAAUACCGGAUAGGAUCUUCUCCUUCAUGGGAGAUGAUUGAAAGAUGGUUUCGGCUAUCACUUACAGAUGGGCCCGCGGUGCAUUAGCUAGUUGGUGAGGUAACGGCUCACCAAGGCAACGAUGCAUAGCCGACCUGAGAGGGUGAUCGGCCACACUGGGACUGAGACACGGCCCAGACUCCUACGGGAGGCAGCAGUAGGGAAUCUUCCGCAAUGGACGAAAGUCUGACGGAGCAACGCCGCGUGAGUGAUGAAGGCUUUCGGGUCGUAAAACUCUGUUGUUAGGGAAGAACAAGUACGAGAGUAACUGCUCGUACCUUGACGGUACCUAACCAGAAAGCCACGGCUAACUACGUGCCAGCAGCCGCGGUAAUACGUAGGUGGCAAGCGUUAUCCGGAAUUAUUGGGCGUAAAGCGCGCGCAGGCGGUUUCUUAAGUCUGAUGUGAAAGCCCACGGCUCAACCGUGGAGGGUCAUUGGAAACUGGGGAACUUGAGUGCAGAAGAGAAAAGCGGAAUUCCACGUGUAGCGGUGAAAUGCGUAGAGAUGUGGAGGAACACCAGUGGCGAAGGCGGC
RNAcentral lists this ribosomal RNA (698 nucleotides) under Bacillus sp. N23(2010). RNAcentral describes it as "bacterial SSU rRNA". It matches the Rfam family "Bacterial small subunit ribosomal RNA", at positions 42 to 725 of the family's 1533-position model. The record is from RNAcentral. Lineage: Bacteria; Bacillati; Bacillota; Bacilli; Caryophanales; Bacillaceae.